UAGCAAUACUUAGUGGCAGACGGGUGAGUAACAUGUAGGUAUCUGCCCUUUGGCCUGGAAUAACACGAGGAAACUUGUGCUAAUACCGGAUAAGUCUUUACGGAGAAAGCUUUAUGCACCAUUGGAUGAGCCUGCACUUGAUUAGUUUGUUGGUGGGGUAAUGGCCUACCAAGACUGUGAUCAAUAGCUGAUUUGAGAGGAUGAUCAGCCACAUUGGGACUGAGACACGGCCCAAACUCCUACGGGAGGCAGCAGUGGGGAAUCUUGCACAAUGGAGGAAACUCUGAUGCAGCGAUGCCGCGUGAGUGAAGAAGGCCUUUGGGUUGUAAAGCUCUUUCGUCGGGGAAGAAAAUGACUGUACCCGAAUAAGAAGGUCCGG
This 379-nucleotide ribosomal RNA is filed under the name uncultured Pseudomonadota bacterium. RNAcentral's name for it is "bacterial SSU rRNA". It matches the Rfam family "Bacterial small subunit ribosomal RNA", at positions 83 to 496 of the family's 1533-position model. Lineage: Bacteria; Pseudomonadati; Pseudomonadota. The record is from RNAcentral.